GUGUAUGAGUUUUAUGUUGCAGGGGAAGCAUUGGAAGCUUGCCCUUCACAAAAUUUUCCGUCUAAUGUGAACACUAACCCUGUCAGAAAUUAGUAAAAAUUUCCGUCCACCCUGCACCCAAAACGGACCCGCUCUCUAAGGAAUUAGGGGGAAUCUCUCACUCUCGGUCUAAGCAAUCAGUGGAAAAUGCUCUUUCUCUAAUAGAGGCGACUGGGGCAACUACUAUCUCUAUUCUGGGGCGCACCCUGAGGCCAAACCAUUUCAAAGAAGGAUUUUGCCUCUCCAUGAGUCACUGGGGAUAAUUUUUGGCAAUCCAACAGCGGAUGGUUCAUGUAUACUCUCAAGUCAUAAUGGAGAAGCCUCAAAAGAGGCCAAUGAUGUGAUGUUGACCCUACAAUCUCCAACUACAUUUUCUGAUUCACCAGAUGUCUUGCAUGAGGACUCUUUAGGUUCAAGAGAUGAUGAGAGUACACCAAUUCAACCGAAACAUCGCCGGUCUACAGAAUCAUUACGAUUGUUCCAUGGCAAAAGAACAAGAAAGGGUCCCGGUGAGAUUAUGGCUGAAGCCUUGCAAGAGAUUGCAGCCAGCGCAAGGUAUAGAGUGACUAUGAGUGUGGCAAAUGGAAGGAGGCAUGAUACAAUGAAAGACAGAAAGAGCUUUGAGUGCGGGAAAUGUGAGGAAGAAUAAGCAUGAUAUAAUGAAGAGCAUAAUAGAAGAGCUGGAGACAAUGGACGACUUGGAUGAUGAUCUCUUCCUAGAAGCUUGUGAAAGGUUGAAGGAUAAAAAAGAUGCUUCUAUAUUUGUGGCACUCAAGGGUGAACGACGUUUGAAGUGGGUGAAAAAGAUAUGUGGUGCACUAUAGCCUUUUGCGGUGUUCACACUGUGUGGACCUUAUAUACUGUUAUUUUGGUUUCCUUGUAGUGUUUCAAUUCUUUUUGUCUGGGUUAGUUGCAGUAGCAAACACCAUAUUACUUUUACAUUCUCUUGAUGGUGGCUUUCCCCACUUUUUCUUGUAUAUCCUUAUGACAAUUGGAAGAGGUUAUCGUAAUAGUGGAUUGUUUUGUUUUGGGA
Long non-coding RNA from Amborella trichopoda, 1072 nucleotides. RefSeq lists it as uncharacterized. NCBI's taxonomy places the organism in Eukaryota, Viridiplantae, Streptophyta, Magnoliopsida, Amborellales, Amborellaceae. The record is from RefSeq and is a predicted model, not a curated record.